This 592-nucleotide ribosomal RNA is filed under the name uncultured Spiroplasma sp. RNAcentral describes it as "bacterial SSU rRNA". It matches the Rfam family "Bacterial small subunit ribosomal RNA", at positions 138 to 718 of the family's 1533-position model. The record is from RNAcentral. Lineage: Bacteria; Bacillati; Mycoplasmatota; Mollicutes; Entomoplasmatales; Spiroplasmataceae.
GGGGAAUAACUGUUGGAAACGACAGCUAAUACCGCAUAAUAUUGCUGGAUAAUUUCCAGUAAUGAAAGGAGCUUUCAAGCUCCGCUGAUUGAUGAGGAUGCGGCGCAUUAGCUAGUUGGUAGGGUAAUGGCCUACCAAGGCAAUGAUGCGUAGCCGAUCUGAGAGGAUGAACGGCCACAUUGGGACUGAGACACGGCCCAAACUUCUACGGAAGGCAGCAGUAGGGAAUUUUUCACAAUGGGCGAAAGCCUGAUGGAGCAAUGCCGCGUGACUGAUGAAGGUCUUCGGAUUGUAAAGGUCUGUUGUAAGGGAAGAAAUGGUAAAACAGGAAAUGGUUUUAUCUAUGACGGUACCUUACCAGAAAGCCACGGCUAACUAUGUGCCAGCAGCCGCGGUAAUACAUAGGUGGCAAGCGUUAUCCGGAUUUAUUGGGCGUAAAGGGUGCGUAGACGGUUUUGCAAGUCUGAGGUUAAAUUUAGGAGCUCAACUCCUAAUCGCCUUGGAAACUACNAGACUAGAGUAUAGGAGAGGUUAGUGGAAUUCCNUGUGUAGCGGUGGAAUGUGUAGAUAUAUGGAGGNACACCAGUGGCGA